UACGGGGGGGGCAAGCGUUGUUCGGAAUUACUGGGCGUAAAGGGCUCGUAGGCGGCCAACUAAGUCGGAUGUGAAAUCCCCAGGCUUAACCUGGGAACUGCAUCCGAUACUGGAUGGCUUGAAUCCGGGAGAGGGAUGCAGAAUUCCAGGUGUAGCGGUGAAAUGCGUAGAUAUCUGGAGGAAUACCGGUGGCGAAGGCGGCAUCCUGGACCGGCAUUGACGCUGAUGAGCGAAAGCGUGGGGAUCAAACAGG
Molecule: ribosomal RNA, 253 nt
Filed under: uncultured bacterium
Lineage: Bacteria
Description: partial 16S ribosomal RNA
Rfam family: Bacterial small subunit ribosomal RNA
Source: RNAcentral